AUGCUUUGCAAGGACAGCACGCAAGGGGCCGUUUGCACAGGGCUCUUUGCACAGGCCUUUUGCACAGAGCUCUUUGCACAAGAGCAGUUUGCAUGGGGCCUUUUGCACAAGGCUACUUUGCACAGGAGCAGUUUGCACAGAGCCAGUUGCACAGGGCUCUUUGCAUGGGGCAGCACGCACAAGGCUGUUGCACGGGGCUGUUGCACAGGACUACUUUGCACAGGGCUCUAUGCACAGGGCCAUCAGUACAGAAUGCUUUGCAAGGGCAGCAUGCACGGGGCUGUUUGCACAUGGGACCGUUUGCACGGGGCCUUUUGCACAAAGCCCUUUGCACAGGACUCUUUGCACAAAGCAGAGCAGUUUGCACAAGAGCUCUUUGCACAGGACCUUUUACACGGGGCUCUUUGCACAUGCAGCACACCCGGUGCAGUAUCUGCAGUUAGUUUGCACAGUGCCGUGUCAUUGCACGUUGCACAUUGCAUGCUGCACGUUGCACAUUGUUGCACGCUGUGUGUUGCAUGCAGUGCAACCCCAACGUUGCAUGUUGCACGUUGCAUGCUGUGUUGCACAACAUGCAAUCCCAACGUUGCACAUUGUUGCACGCAGUGUUGCACGCUGUGCAAUCACACCAUUGCAUGUUGUUGCAUGCUGUGCUGCACGCCAUGCAAUCCCAACAUUGCACAUUGCAAGCAGUGUGUUGCGUGCUGUGCAACCCCAACACUGCAGGUUGCAUGUUGCACGCAGUGCUGCAAGCUGUGCAAUCCCAACAUUGCAGGUUGCACAUUGCACGCUGUGUUGCAUGCUGUGCAAUCACAGCAUUGCAGGUUGUUGCAUGCAGUGCUGCAAGCCGUGGAACCCCAACACUGCAGGCUGCACAUUGGAAGCAGCGUCGCAUGCCAUGCAACCCCAACAUUGCACAUAGCAGGUUGUUGCAUGCACUGUUGCAGUCCAUGCAAUCCCAACAUGGCAGGUUGCACGCAGUGUUGCAUGCCGUGCAACCCCAACGUUGCAGGUUGCACGCUGUGUUGCUAUCACAACGGUGCAUGUUGCAUGCCGUGUGUUGCACACCACGCAACCCCAACGUUGCAGGCUGCUGCACACUGUGUUGCAUGCCGUGCAAUCCCAAUGUUGCAUGCUGCAUGCUGUGUUUUGCACGCUGUGUUUUACACGCUGUGUUUGCAAGCUGUGUUUUACAUGCUGUGUUUUGCACGCUGUGUUUGCACGCUGUGUUUUGCACACUCUGUUUUGCACGCUGUGUUUGCACGCUGUGUGUUGCACGCUGUGUGUUGCACACUGUGUUUUACACGCUGUGUUUUGCACACUGUGUUUUGCACGCUGUGUUUGCACGCUAUGUGUUGCACGCUCUGUUUUGCACACUAUGUGUUGCACGCUGUGCUUUGCACGCUCUGUGUUGCACGCUGUGUUUUGCACGCUGUGUUUUGCACACUGUGUUUUAUACACUGUGUUUUGCACGCUGUGUUUUGCAUGCUGUGUGUUGCAUGCUGCACGUUGCAUGCUGUGUGUUGCACACUGUGUUUUGCAUGCCAUGUUUUGCACGCUGUGUGUUUGCACACUGUGUUUUGCACGCUGUGUUUUGCACGCUGUGUGUUGCACUCUGUGUUUGCACGCUGUGUUUUGCACGCUCUGUUUUAUCACCCCCUGUCCGUGUUCCUGCAGUUGCACACAAGGUCGUUUCCUGUUGCUCAAGGACUUCCUGCCCGGGAACAUCCCGGCCCCACAAACAACCCCGCCCCAUAGUGACCCUAUAGCCACCCCAUAGCAGCCCCAUAGCGACCCUAUAGCCACCCCAUAGCAGCCCCAUAGCGACCCUAUAGCAGCCCCAUAGCGGCCCCAUAGCAGUCCCAGACCAACCCCAUAGCAGCCCUAUAGCAGCCCCCUAGCGGCCCCAUAGCGACCCCAUAGAGGCCCCAUAGCAGCCCCAUAGCGACCCUAUAGGCACCCCAUAGCAGCCCCAUAGCGACCCCAUAGAGGCCCCAUAGCAGCCCCACAGCGGCCCUAUAGCGGCCCCAUAGCAGCCUCACAGUGGCCCCACAGUGACCCUAUAGCCGACCCAUAGCGGACCCAUAGCAGCGCCAUAGAAGCCCUAUAGCAGCCCCACAGCGGCCCCAUAGCGGCCCCAUAGCAGCCCCAUAGCAUCCCCAUAGCGGCCUCAUAGCGGCCCCAUAGCAGCCCCAAAGCGGCCCUAUAGCGGCCCCAUAGCAGCUUCAUAGUGGCCCCACAGUGACCCUAUAGCGGACCCAUAGCGGACCCAUAGCAGCCCCAUAGCGGCCCCAUAGCAUCCCCAUAGCGACCCCAUAGAGGCCCCAUAGCAGCCCCACAGUGGCCCCAUAGUGGCCCCACAGUGACCCUAUAGCGGACCCCUAGCAGCCCCAUAGAAGACCUAUAGCGGCCCCAUAGCAGCUCUAUAGCAGCCCCACAGUGGCCCCAUAGCGACCUCAUAGCGGCCCGAUAGCAGCCCCAAAGCGACCCCAUAGAGGCCCCAUAGCAGCCCCAUAGCAGCCCCAUAGCAGCCCUAUAGCAUCCCCAAAGCAACCCUAUAGAGGCCCCAUAGCAGCCCCACAGCGGCCCCAUAGCAGCCCCAGACCAACCCCAUAGCAGCCCCAUACCAGCCCUAUAGCAGCCCCACAGCGGCCCCAUAGUGGCCCCAUAGCGGCCCCAAAGCAGCCCCAUAGCGGCCCCAAAGCGACCCCAUAGAGGCCCCAUAGCAGCCCUAUAGUGGCCCUAUAGCGGCCCCAUA
RNAcentral lists this long non-coding RNA (2758 nucleotides) under Coturnix japonica (Japanese quail). RNAcentral's name for it is "lncRNA (ENSCJPG00005002390.1)". Lineage: Eukaryota; Metazoa; Chordata; Aves; Galliformes; Phasianidae. The record is from RNAcentral.